Molecule: ribosomal RNA, 547 nt
Filed under: uncultured bacterium
Lineage: Bacteria
Description: bacterial SSU rRNA
Rfam family: Bacterial small subunit ribosomal RNA
Source: RNAcentral
UGGCGGCGUGCCUAACACAUGCAAGUCGCACGAGAAAGUGGAGCAAUCCAUGAGUAAAGUGGCGUACGGGUGAGUAACACGUGACUACCUGCCCUCGAGUGGGGAAUAACUUCGGGAAACCGAGGCUAAUACCGCAUAACAUCGAGAGAUCAAAGCAGCAAUGCGCUUGAGGAGGGGGUCGCGCCUGAUUAGCUAGUUGGUAGGGUAACGGCCUACCAAGGCGAUGAUCAGUAGCCGGCCUGAGAGGGCGCACGGCCACACUGGAACUGAAACACGGUCCAGACUCCUACGGGAGGCAGCAGUGGGGAAUUUUGCGCAAUGGGGGAAACCCUGACGCAGCAACGCCGCGUGGAGGAUGAAGUCCCUUGGGACGUAAACUCCUUUCGAUCGGGACGAUUAUGACGGUACCGGAAGAAGAAGCCCCGGCUAACUUCGUGCCAGCAGCCGCGGUAAUACGAGGGGGGCAAGCGUUGUUCGGAAUUAUUGGGCGUAAAGGGCGCGUANGCGGUGCGGUAAGUCUGAUGUGAAACCUCCGGGCUCAACUCGG